GACGAACGCUGGCGGCGUGCUUAACACAUGCAAGUCGAACGGCAAGGCCUUCUUUGCCUUGUGGUUUGCGUGUCCUCUAGUGGCGAACUGGUGAGUACCACGUGAUUUAUUUUUCCCUAACUUAUGUCUAAGCCUGGGUUACUCUGUCUCAUUCUCCGUCGUACUGCUGGGUGCUGCCUGUCUUCGAACCCGAUUCUCUUGUGUUUGCGGAUGAGCUCUCGGCCUAUCAGCUUGGUGGUGGGGUAAUGGCCUACCAAGGCGGCGACGGGUAGCCGGCCUGAGAGGGUGGACGGGCAGAUUGGGACUGAGAGACGGCACAGACUCCUACGGGAGGCAGCAGUGGGGAAUAUUGCACAAUGGGCGGAAGCCUGAUGCAGCGACGCAGCGUGGGGGAUGACGGCCUUCGGGUUGUAAACUCCUUUCGACCGCGAGGAAGCCACCUGGUUGGAAGGGUGGUGACGGUAGUGGUAGAAGAAGCACCGGCUAACUACGUG
This 494-nucleotide ribosomal RNA is filed under the name uncultured bacterium. RNAcentral's name for it is "partial 16S ribosomal RNA". It matches the Rfam family "Bacterial small subunit ribosomal RNA", at positions 28 to 507 of the family's 1533-position model. The record is from RNAcentral.